Molecule: long non-coding RNA, 603 nt
Organism: Zea mays
Lineage: Eukaryota; Viridiplantae; Streptophyta; Magnoliopsida; Poales; Poaceae
Exons: 2
Source: RefSeq, a predicted model, not a curated record
AGGUUUUGCCUAUUCACCCCCUCUAGGCGACUUUGUGACAAGUGUCCAAACUUGGUAUCCAAAUCCACCAUCUACAUACGGAGUUCUUGGUUGAUGAUGAGUGAUUGUCUACGGCUAGUUGUUGGGGGCCUUCGUCUUCCGAAGGUCCUCAAAAACACGGACUAACCAUUGGUCAUCAGUAUAUUUGUCAAGCAUUGCAGGAGCUUCGGAAUCAGACCACCUUCAGUAGUAAAACAAUGGAAGAGUAACAAAGUUAGCUUCAUCAUAAUAACAAUGGAAGGUGGUGCAAGGAGAAGGUGUCAUCAGGAAUACUGAAGGCAGAAGACAAUGUUAUCCAUGUACCAUUUGUUAAUCUUAUGUGUAAUUCUUAAGGGCAUAAGUGUAAUUUCGUAUGAAGCUGUUCGAUUCCCUAUAAAUAGUUUAAUAGUGCCCACAUAAAGUACCUUUUGGCGGAUUGAGCAAUUGUUAUGUAAUUUUCUCUCUACAACACCUUCAUUGUAAUUAUCUCUGAAGAACCAAAGGUACAAUUGUAAAGUUAGUUUACAAAAGGGGGAAUAUGUUAUUGACAUAUCUCAAUUGAGCCAUCAUGUGUAAACUCUUUUA